GACGAACGCUGGCGGCGUGCCUAAUACAUGCAAGUAGAACGCACAGUUUAUACCGUAGCUUGCUACACCAUAGACUGUGAGUUGCGAACGGGUGAGUAACGCGUAGGUAACCUGCCUGGUAGCGGGGGAUAACUAUUGGAAACGAUAGCUAAUACCGCAUAAUAUUGAUUAUUGCAUGAUAAUUGAUUGAAAGAUGCUAUUGCAUCACUACCAGAUGGACCUGCGUUGUAUUAGCUAGUAGGUGAGGUAACGGCUCACCUAGGCGACGAUACAUAGCCGACCCGGAGAGGUGGUCGGCCACACCGGGAAUGGGACACGGCCCAAACUCCUACGGGAGGCAGCAGUAAGGAAUCUUCGGCAAAGGACGGAAGGCUGACCGAGCAACGCCGCGUGAGUGAAGAAGGGUUUCGGAUCGUAAAGCUCUGUUGUAAGAGAAGAACGGGGGUGAGAGUGGAAAGUUCACACUGUGGCGGUAUCUGACCAGAAAGGGACGGCUAACUACGUG
This 505-nucleotide ribosomal RNA is filed under the name uncultured bacterium. RNAcentral's name for it is "partial 16S ribosomal RNA". It matches the Rfam family "Bacterial small subunit ribosomal RNA", at positions 28 to 507 of the family's 1533-position model. The record is from RNAcentral.